GACGAACGCUGGCGGCGUGCUUAACACAUGCAAGUCGAACGGAAAGGCCUCUUUCGGGGGGUACUCGAGUGGCGAUCGGGUGAGUAACACGUGAGUAACCUGCCCUUUACUUUGGGAUAACUUCAGGAAACUGGGGCUAAUACCGGAUAGGAGCUCCUGCUUCAUGGUGGGGGCUGGAAAGUUUCGGCGGUUGGGGAUGGACUCGCGGCUUAUCAGCUUGUUGGUGGGGGAGUGGCUUACGAAGGCUUUGGCGGGUAGCCGGCCUGAGAGGGUGAGCGGCCACCUUGGGACUGCGAUACGGCCCAGACUCCUACGGGGGGCAGCAGUGGGGAAUAUUGCACAAUGGGGGGAAGUCUGAUGCAGCAACGCCGUGUGCGGGAUGACGGCCUUCGGGUUGUAAACCGCUUUCGCCUGUGACGAAGCGUGAGUGACGGUAAUGGGUAAAGAAGCACCGGCUAACUACGUG
Molecule: ribosomal RNA, 466 nt
Filed under: uncultured bacterium
Lineage: Bacteria
Description: partial 16S ribosomal RNA
Rfam family: Bacterial small subunit ribosomal RNA
Source: RNAcentral